CUGGCGGCACGCCUAACACAUGCAAGUCGAACGCAGUAGCAAUACUGAGUGGCAGACGGGUGAGUAACAUGUGGGAAUCUGCCUUGUGGUUCAGGACAACAUUGGGAAACCGAUGCUAAUACUGGAUAAGCCCUUACGGGGAAAGUUUUAAUGCCAUAAGAUGAGCCCGCAUUUGAUUAGUUAGUUGGUGAGGUAAUGGCUCACCAAGACAAUGAUCAAUAGCUGAUCUGAGAGGAUGAUCAGCCACACUGGGACUGAGACACGGCCCAGACUCCUACGGGAGGCAGCAGUGGGGAAUCUUGCACAAUGGAGGAAACUCUGAUGCAGCGAUGCCGCGUGAGUGAAGAAGGCCUUUGGGUUGUAAACGCUCUUUUGUAGGGGAAGAUAAUGACGUGUACCCUAAGAAUAAGGUCCGGCUAACUUCGUGUCAGCAGCCGCGGUAAUACGAAGGGACCUAGCGUAGUUCGGAAUUACUGGGCGUAAAGCGCGCGUAGGCCGUUGAGUUAGUU
RNAcentral lists this ribosomal RNA (509 nucleotides) under uncultured Alphaproteobacteria bacterium. RNAcentral's name for it is "bacterial SSU rRNA". It matches the Rfam family "Bacterial small subunit ribosomal RNA", at positions 36 to 589 of the family's 1533-position model. Lineage: Bacteria; Pseudomonadati; Pseudomonadota; Alphaproteobacteria. The record is from RNAcentral.